This 74-nucleotide transfer RNA is filed under the name Gimesia aquarii. Its description in RNAcentral is "Planctomycetes bacterium V144 tRNA-Val". It matches the Rfam family "tRNA". From Rfam's summary of the family: Transfer RNA (tRNA) molecules are approximately 80 nucleotides in length. Their secondary structure includes four short double-helical elements and three loops (D, anti-codon, and T loops). Further hydrogen bonds mediate the characteristic L-shaped molecular structure. tRNAs have two regions of fundamental functional importance: the anti-codon, which is responsible for specific mRNA codon recognition, and the 3' end, to which the tRNAs corresponding amino acid is attached (by aminoacyl-tRNA synthetases). tRNAs cope with the degeneracy of the genetic code in two manners: having more than one tRNA (with a specific anti-codon) for a particular amino acid; and 'wobble' base-pairing, i.e. permitting non-standard base-pairing at the 3rd anti-codon position. The record is from RNAcentral. Lineage: Bacteria; Pseudomonadati; Planctomycetota; Planctomycetia; Planctomycetales; Planctomycetaceae.
UGAUGCGUAGCUCAGUGGUUAGAGCGGCGUUCUUACAAGACGCAAGUCGUGGGUUCGAAUCCCACCGCAUCAAC